Molecule: ribosomal RNA, 253 nt
Filed under: uncultured bacterium
Lineage: Bacteria
Description: partial 16S ribosomal RNA
Rfam family: Bacterial small subunit ribosomal RNA
Source: RNAcentral
GACGAACCGUGCGACCGUUGUUCGGAAUCACUGGGCUUAAAGGGCGCGUAGGCGGGCCGCAAAGUCAGGGGUGAAAGCCUCCAGCUCAACUGGAGAAGUGCCUCUGAUACUGGCGGCCUCGAGGGAGAUAGGGGCGUGCGGAACUUCCGGUGGAGCGGUGAAAUGCGUAGAUAUCAGGAGGAACACCAAUAGCGAAGGCAGCUCGCUGGGACGGUACUGACGCUGAGACGCGAAAGCGUGGGGAGCGAACAGG